Molecule: long non-coding RNA, 5256 nt
Organism: Herpailurus yagouaroundi (jaguarundi)
Lineage: Eukaryota; Metazoa; Chordata; Mammalia; Carnivora; Felidae
Exons: 2
Source: RefSeq, a predicted model, not a curated record
CAGAGAGCCUUGAAAUUGAGAGCAGGCGAGAACCUACUGAAACCUUCUUUUUCGUCAGUGGCCUGCAGUCUCCUGGGACACAAGCCCUAUCGUAUGCCAGGGGACAAGAAUAGAACCAAAAAUUGAGAACACAGCCCUUAGCACGGGCUGAUGGCAUUGGUUGCCAACAGUUGCCCCAUUAGUAGGCUAUGGGGACAUGCUAGGGAACAUUUUCUCUGCGAGGCUUGUGUUUAAAAAUAUAUCUUGCUUCAGAGCUGGCCCUAGGCGUGGCUGGGGAGUAAGAGCCUCCUUUUUCCGUGCUGAGAAGGUGCCAGUCACUCUGUGAUUCACUGCCGAUCCCUUACCCCUCUGAGCCUGCCCCUUACGUGCUGUGUGACAGUCACCCAGACCUCAAGCUGGCCCGUGGCAAGUUAAUGUUUCAGACGAUUCCUGGAUGGAAGCCACGCUCCAGGAUUGCCCUCCCCCAUGAACUUGCUGGAUGCACGCAGGGCCAGGGCUGAAAGACGGUGGUCAAUACGAAGGGCUCUGACCUCUUCUCACCCUGUGGAUGUGUCCCUGGAGACAUUUCUCUCUCCAUUUCCUUAUUCCCAGACGGAGGCAACAGUUCCUGCCCACGUCCCAAGGAUGUUUAGAAGUCAUGGCUAACGGAAAUGACCGAGAAGCUCUUGGCAGAUGCCCAGUUCAGAAUCGCGUGCUGAAUGAUGGCCUCCCUCACCCACCCUCUGUACCGCAUUACCUACGUGCCCUGCUCUCACCGCUCUGCUGACCGCCCUGGGGCGCGAAGCCGGUCUGCCCAGAGGUCCUGGGGUCCGCUAGAGAAGGUCCCCUUUGCGGGAACCACUGCCAUCCCCGCAUGGCCGAACUCGUAUUCCGGGUCGGAAACAACAGGUGAUAGAUGAGCUGCAAAAGGCUGAAAGGCUGCCAGCAUCCGGCCGCGGGCACCCAGGGCUUGGCACCCCUUCCCCCAGGGGGGGUGGAAGUGAAUCAAUCGACAUGGUGGGGUCAAGUUUGAGUGUGCCUCGGCGAAACCCUGGGGACCUCCUUUCUUGAAAAACAACUGGGACAGGGUGACAGCUGUUCAAGGAUGCCAAAGAAAAGGGUCCCCCGGGGAAACCUCCCCAGGGAAGUCUCUGCCUGCAGGAGGCUGUGAGUGACACAGAAGACAGUCGGCAGGAGUGGGCACAGCCCGGCCCGGGUGAACUCUCUGGGUGGCCAGCGAUCGGAAGCACCGUGCACGUGUAAAAUCUGGCGGUAACCAGGACCGCGGUGGCAGCGGUGACAUUGACUAUCACAGACGGUGGGGCCUAUCGAACCGUAGACCGUUCUGAAGCUGUGGCCCCUGUAAGGACUUGGCUGCAAAAUGGCUACCAUAUUGGAAUCGUCACAGCUCUUUUGGCCUUUAUUUUUAUUUAUUUGAGAGAGAGAGAGAGAGAGCAGGAGAGGGGCAGAGAGAAAGAGAGAGAAUCCCAAGCAGGCUCCGCACUCAGCAUAGACCCCAACAUGAAGCUCAACCCCACGACGGUGAAAUGACCACCCAGAGGGACCACGUGACCCUCCCCGUUUGCACAUGGGCCGCCGCCUCUGAGGCAGGCUGGGAGAAUUCCUUGUGUGGAAAUCACCGGACUUCGAUCCCCAAGACCUGGAUUUGACUCUGGGAUCAACCACUUCCUAGCAGUGUGAACUGGGCCACAGCAGCUAACCUUUCUGAGACUCAGUGGUCCCAUCGAUAAACUGGAGCAAGCGAUGCCUCACCUCGGGGAGGUGAGGGGCCGUCAGAGGAAGCACGCAGCCCCAGGAGGGAUUGAUUCACAGAUGCGGCUUCGUGCCCCGCUUCCUCUCCACGGCUCCGGUGCCGAAAUCCGAGGUCACACGACAUCGCUGUCAGAACAAGUCCAUGCCGCCGCCGUCCUAUCCGAGAGGCCCGCGCCGGGGCGGCCUUGGCUCCUGAGCCUGCCCUGGUGCAGGGUUCUCGGUGGCACUAUUUUUGGCAGAUUUUUUUUUUUUUUUUUUUUUUAUCCUUGCUCUUUAUCACAAGCCUGUCGGGCAAAUGACAGAGGAAUUGCAAGCUUGAAUGGGCUUGUCUGACAGGCCAACUUUCAUCCCGGGUGCUGCUGCCUGACUUUGAAAAAGGAACUCUGGGCAGAAGAGAGUAAUUUCACACUGAUUCCUCGCCAUAAUUUGCUUUGGGGUUGAAAACGUCGCGUUUCAAUCAUCCCCGCUUCGCGCCGCAGGGGAGAAGAAGGGCCACGCGUGCAGGUGACGCGUUUGCCGCGGGCCCGCACCGAGACGACUGCCUGGCUCUGAAGCCAGAGCCCUGAGACACACAGGCAGGCACGCCAAGGAGCUCUCCACCAGCCACAAACGAGUGCCUUCGGAGGAGCCCAUGAGAAAUGGGUUCUGGCAGAAAGAGAGAGCCGCCUAGGACGUGGAGCCUCAUAUCGGACACCUCCAUCAUUCAAGAAUCCAUUAGAACGUCUUUCUCCCCCAGGCCCACGUUCCACGGAGGAGUUGGGUGGCUGUAGGCAAACCGCAAACGUAGGAGGGUCCAAGACAAGCGUGCUCAGCUCGGACAGGCGUGAGCUGGGAGGUACGGGAGGGAAGGGGAAAGUGGCGUCCGGGCCAAUGACAGCUGGCGAGGCUGUGCGUGAAGCAUCCGGGGACAAGGACAGGGGCUCAUGGGGAGGUCAGGGGAUGUGGUCGUUCCCAGGUCAGCAGCAGGAAGCGGUGACUUCCCCCGCGUCAUAAACCGUCCUGUCCUUCGCCACCUCUCGCCACGCUUACUCAAGAGGCCACACUGCCUGACACCUGCUGAUUUUUCCUGGGAUGGCUUCGAAAUGGUUCACGUCCUUAAUCUUGCUCCUCAACUGGAUUGUAAGUUCUCUGAGGUCAGGAACCCAUACCUAACCCUCUCUGCGUGCCCCGAAGCUCCUUCCUAGGGCUGAGCACAAACCAAGACUCAAUAACCGCCCGGAGUCUAUCGGAGACUUUCACACACCGCUGACAAAGAUUCAGCGGUACUGGAGGGUUUGAGCCGGGAUCAGCCAGCGUAUUUCUCAGCGAACGAAUCCAAGCUUGUUCUCAGUGGGACAUCAGGCUAUUGACGGUCUAUCCAGCCAGACUUUUGGGCCUUCUUGGCCACGCCUCACAUGCUGUAGACUCCAGCUGUGUGGAACCGAAUGCUCUCAGCGCCUCUGUGCCUUUGCACAGGCUGAUCCCUUGGCCUGGCUGCCCUUCCCUCAUUCUUCCAUCCGUGGACUUGGCGUUUCGGCUCCAGGUCAACCCGCCCCUUCCCGCAGGGCGGCCAGCAUCCCUUGGGCAGAGCUGGUGAGGCCUCCGCCUGUGGGUCCGGAGUACUUUCCGGAGGCCUGACGGGACAGGUGGCCUGGUGGCCCUGCCAUCCGGUUAAUGCUGUCUGCCUGCCCGAUCUGCCCCCUUCGUCAUCUCUCAACUUUGGCUCUCGGCGCAGCGCCUGGCACUUGGUAAAGGUUUAUCGAAUGAAUGUGUCUCCCACAUUUGGCCUAUCAUGGCGACGGCAGUCAGGGCCCAGCAGGUCAUGUGGGGACACGGCAAAAGACGUGAGACCAAACAAACGCUUCGGAGGGAAGCAAGGCCCUGGGGCCCUCCCGAUAAGCUGGGGCACCUGGGACCAACCCCCAGCUGUGAGGUUGGGGGAAGUGACACUUGCUUUCCGGAGCCCCAGCCUCAUCUCGGGACCUCACUCCACCUUGUGGGGUUUCCAAAACGUCAUGCAACCUUCUCAUGGCCUUUAGUGACACGGCCGGACCGGGCGAUUAUUCCUGGUCUCCAGCGAUGGGUGUGGGGUGUGACCAGGCAGCAGCAGUGUGUCGGGCGGAGAGGGUGGUGUUGCCCCUGGAUGCGGGGGAGGUGGCGAAGAUCGUGGACUCCAGCCUGGCCUCACGCCCAGCCCCCACCCCUGCCCCGCCGUGCGACACGGUGGGAAGGCCUCAGCUUCCCCGCGCAUAAAGGGUGAAGCAACCCCCACGGGGUCGUUCAGAAAGUCGGGCAAACGGACGCGUGUGAGCAUCGAGGGGGAUGCCCGGCACGUGACGAUGGCUCCCGAAAAGCCAGCCCCCGUCAUUUGGAACCGGAAGAUGAGUGUCACAUCUGGCUUUCUCCACUUGCAGGCUGUGGGACCUGAGUGGGUCAAGGUGUCUUACCUCUCCACUCACAUUCUCUGGUUCCUGAGAGGAGGGCGGGACUGCCGCCCUCACUGGCUGUCUUGAGACGCAAGGAGAUAGUGGGAGGGAAUGUGCUUUGCAAGCCACGCGUUUUCCUGGGGUAGCUGUGAGUUGCCUGUGCGAAGGCAUUGAGAGGCGAGGAGACCUUGGAGAUCCUGCCACCUGAGAGCUACCCCUUAAUGGAGACAAUGACCGUCUAGUAAACAAACUUGUAAUUUCUGGAAAGCGCAUGCUUUGACAGCCACCUGGGGUUGGGGGGGGGGGGGGAGGUCUAUUAGCGACCCGUAGGCAAAACUGUGACUCUCCCAAUGCAAAGUUCGAGUCUGAGGGUCCACUUGGCUGAGCCACGGUUCCCAGACAUGUAGUCAAACAUUAUUCUGGACGUGUCUGUGAGGGUGUAUCUGGAUGAAAUUAACAUUUAAAUCAUUGGACUCUGGUCCAAUGUCCUCUAUAAUGUGGGUGGGCCUCAUCUAAUCAGUUGAAGGCCAGAACUGAACAAAAACCUGACCCCCACCCCCACCCCACACACACACCCAUCCCCAUGCAAGAGGUAAUUUUGCCAGCAGACUGUCUCUGGACCUGAACUGUAGCAUUGACUCUUCCCUGGGUCUCUAGCCGGCCAGCCUACUCAGCAGACUUUGGACUUGCCAGCCUCCAUAAUCACCAUAAUUGUGCUAAUUACCUAAAAUCUCUCUCUCUCUCUCUGUCUCUCUUACACACACACACACACACACACACACACACACACACACACUGUUGGUUCUGUUUCUUUGAAGAACCCUAAUAUACCCAUAAACAUUUGGAGUCCUCAGAUAGCUUUAAACUAUAAACUCUAACAGCUCCAGUGAACACAGAUUUCCCAGGGAGGCCAGUUUCAAACACUAGCCGAUCCUAAGCAUGACUUUGUCCUGCCUCGCCUGUUCCCUUCCAUGGAAACCACACAUGCCCCCUCCUUCUGCUCCCUGACCGCCCCCGGUGCUUACCCAGGAGACCCUGCAUGGUGUCCCGUGCUCUCUCAAGGGAACCGUGACUAUAAUAAAAUCUUUAAAAUUUCUCA